This 250-nucleotide ribosomal RNA is filed under the name Klebsiella pneumoniae. RNAcentral's name for it is "partial 23S ribosomal RNA". It matches the Rfam family "Bacterial large subunit ribosomal RNA", at positions 2693 to 2925 of the family's 2925-position model. The record is from RNAcentral. Lineage: Bacteria; Pseudomonadati; Pseudomonadota; Gammaproteobacteria; Enterobacterales; Enterobacteriaceae.
CGGAGUGGACGCAUCACUGGUGUUCGGGUUGUCAUGCCAAUGGCACUGCCCGGUAGCUAAAUGCGGAAGAGAUAAGUGCUGAAAGCAUCUAAGCACGAAACUUGCCCCGAGAUGAGUUCUCCCUGAGACUAUAAGUCUCCUGAAGGAACGUUAAAGACGAUGACGUUGAUAGGCCGGGUGUGUAAGCGCAGCGAUGCGUUGAGCUAACCGGUACUAAUGAACCGUGAGGCUUAACCUUACAACGCCGAAG